GUCUUAGUUACAGUUCAGCUUGAUCUCAUCAGAUGGGUGAGAUUGGACUCCAGAUCCCUGCUGUAUGUACGUCCAGUGUCCAGGUUUUCUUCCAGCUGCAGAAGCUGAAUGGGCGCUGCAGACACACACACACACACACACACACACACACACACAGGAGCUGGUGUGGAGGAGAACAGAAAUACAGGUUACUUGCGAGGUAACCUUGCUACAUGCCAGCACUAGAGAUGCAGCAAAGAAUUAACCAAGCCACAUCAGGGGCCAAGCACCCAAUCCAUCAAACUAAACUGGUCACAUCGAUUGUUUAGCAUUGAUCUGGAAGGCUUCAUAGACUGCCAGUCUCUUGUGCAGUUUCUACAGCAUCACCCCCUCUCUGAAAGCAUCUCAUCACUUGCUCCACCAGUCUCACACCAGGGCAACUUGGUCAAGUCCAACUGAACCACUUCACCUCUCAUUGUUUAGCCAAUGUCGACUGCCACUCAACCCUCACACCAGAAUGGAGGUGUUGGUUUUCCAUACAACGAGGAAAAAUUCAUUUCAGGUGGGGUGAACAGGAAUUCAGCAAUAAUUGGAGGCAUUAUUGCUGUGGUGAUCUUCACCAUCCUGUGCACGUUGGUGUUCCUGAUCCGUUAUAUGAUUCGCCACAAGAGAACACAUCAAACCAACGAGUCCAAAGAGGAAGAGCACUCCGAAUCGGCCGAUACGACUACCGUCGCCACUGAGCCAAAUUUCACAGAGACCAUUGAUGAAAGCAAGAAGGAAUGGUUCAUAUAACAGAAUGAGGACUACAUCACUUAGAAAAAAGAUCAAUACAUAUCCCUCCUCCCAUUCUUCUCCCUACUGUAUGCAUAUCUGUCUGUCUCUGUCUCUGUCUCUGUCUCCCUCUGUCAGGGAGUCCAGCUUCAAUGUUUCAAAAAGUGCAGCUAUUUACUAUGUGCAUGAUAGAGCCAGUGGGGUGGGUGAGAAUGUGGACCGCAGUGAGAUCAAUGAUUGUAGGCCUGGCCAACUUCAGUUUCUUAUGGGGAAAGAUGAAUGGGAAUAUAAGACUGAAAAAGAAUCCUAUAUGAUGGAACUUAUCCAAGGUGUUCUCUGACCUCUUUGGAAAUCCAGAAACAAAAUCAUAUCCAGUGGCCAUCCAUAACUGUUGAGAUUUUGAUGAAAGCAACAUAAUAACCAACAAUAAAAGUGUUGCCUUUAUGAUCCAAGCCAGUCAAACAUUGCUAAAAAGCAAUUUUUUGGGAACUCGAGAGACAUUAGGCCAGAUCAGUGCAGGAAGAAAUAGCAGAGGUGGUCACUCACAAUGCGGCUAAAUCCAAUCAACAAAAGCACAAAAUUUAUUUCCGCUUUUACAGUUUGUACAUGAAUCAAUUUUACAAUCACUUUUUUAUUUUUAGAUGAUCAGGGCCAUCACAUCACCAGUCAUGGUACAUUCACUAAUUAAAAGCUAAACCUAAUAACGCCUGUGGAGAGUUUUUACAGACUAAAAAUUGCAUCGCUAUCAAUAUUCUUCACCGAUCUUUUUCUGAUGGACACUGUAAUGGAAAUUAAUUAUUAUAUAUAUAUAUAUAUAUGGCACAAAAACACUCCUUAGGUCAUCGCAUGUGAGCACAAGAUCUCAGUAUAAUAGGUUUAGGGGUAGUUUCAUUUUGUAAUAUGGAACCAAGGCUACUAAACAUUUACAACAAUACAUUAGAUGUGUUGCAUUGUUUGUUUUUUCAUGACAUUAUAAAAUUUAUUUCGUAUAAAUGUCAUCAUUAGGUUAAAAAAAAAAAAAGGCCCGAUUCCUUGAACGUGAUGUUUAAGAUCAAUUAAAAUUUUUUUUUUUCUCGGGCUUGUACCGGCCGGUUAGCUCAGUUGGUUAGAGCGUGGUGCUAAUAACGCCAAGGUCGCGGGUUCGAUCCCCGUACGGGCCAGUAUGUUUUGUUUUUAUUGUUUAAAUCAAUUUUAAUGUUGUCUGCCUCUGUGCAAAAAAAAAAAAAAGAAAAUGUGUUAACUAAGAGAAGAAAACAGUGCAGGAGGAUUGGGGUGGGUUUAGAAGAGUUGCAGUAGUGAUUUGGAUAAAAUGUAUCUGCAAGACUGAAAGGAAAAGUUGUGGGAAAGGACUGUGGUAAGACCUGCUAUGUUGUAGGUUUAGAGACAGUAGCAUUGACUAAAAGGGUGAUAUGGAGACAGAUGAUCAGCUGUGGUGACUCCUUCAAAUCACACCUCAUGACAAGUCAAAGGAAAGAACUUGCUGCUAUCAUGGGGCAUUUAAACGCAAGAACUAAAUCAGCUCUUCUAAUUGAUGGGCAUCUGUAAAUACCUGUGCUGCAUGUGCAGGAAUAAAUUGUGCAGCUUCUGUGCUACAUGUCUCUGCCAAUCCUCUGACUUAAAUCAUUUCAGCUUUUGUCAGUUGUCAGAAGGUUUCUUGUGAGUAAGAUUAUUAAGUUGCAUUAUGUUACAGUAAAAUCUGGGUCUUUGGAGGCUUUUUUCAAUUUCUUGAAAAUACAACCUCUUUAGUUCAGACCCUAUGAAGAAAAAACUAUUAGGAAAACCUCCAUAACCCUGAUCAGUGGUAAAACAACAACAGACAAACAACAUGUUUAACGGCCAAUCAAAUUGUAUUGAUGAAUUCACCUAAAGAUUUAUUUUCAAAUUGUGCAAUAGAUUUAUUGGGACAUUCUUAUAAUCUUCAGGUUGGCUUUGUUAAUAUGUUUAUUCCCGAUUUUGACCUCAAUUUCAUCCAGGUUUCCAGUCUCUGUUUAUUAAAAGCAUUUUUGGUUUCAUCCCACUCGAAAACCUCUUUUACGUGUUUGCAGAGUGUUUUACACGCAAUGUCGUUUGGCUCACCACUCUUCCAUAAAGCCCAGCUUUUUGGAGCAUUCAGUCUAUCAUUCUCAUGCAAACAACAUCUCCCUAACCUGAGCUGCAGACCUCGCAAACAGCUUUAGAGCUACUCUUGGAUUCUGGCUUACUUCCCUAAAUAAUGUCCUCCUUACCUGUUUCUUUUUACCCUGAUUUCUUUUAAAACAGGCUGUCCAUAACCAAAGCCCAAAUCAUAUUAUUCAAAGAUUUUUGGUAUCCAUGAUGCUGUCUUUUUAAGUAUGUUGUCAAAAAACACUGGAGACUUCCAAGAACGUGUCUUUAUACUGAGAUCUUGUGACAAUUCACUUACACACAGGUUUUUUUCUGCUAAUUGUAGUACAUACACAUUUGGUUUAAGGUUAUUUCCAGGUUUCUUUCUGGCAACUUUGAGUGCUCCUGUAGUAUUCUUUUACUGUGUGGCACUAUGAAAAUGAAUAAAAAGCUUGUAAAUGGGACAUGUGAAAAACAUCUGCACUGCAAAUACAGGCAUUAAUUGUGCAGAAGAGUUUUCUACCAUCUAAGUUUAGUCCUCUCAGCUAUUGCUAUCUGCCAGCAAGACUACUAUGGUGUGUGCCAGUAAUGUCUGGGUGUUUGUAAGCUUCUUUUCCAUUUCUUGAAAAUGCAACAGUUUCCUUUUAGGGUUCUUUUCCACUUAGGGAGUCUUGGUAGCCAGUUCAGCUUUUCUCUCUGCAAUGAUGACCUUGAUCAUGAGUAAAAACAGGGAAUUAUGUGAAUUCCAAUAUCAGUGUGUGCCAGAACUAAUUUGAGGAUUUCAAAACUUUGUACUAAACAGUACACAAAAACUAAUUAAAGGAAGGUGUAUAUUUAUGUCUGGUGGAAAGAUCGAAAAUGCAAUACAAUAAAUAAAAAAGUAUUAAAAACAGCUUUGUCUAGUUUUUAAUGCAUUUCUAUGUUGCUGCUGAAUUAAAGCCCAAAAACAUGAAAUUUUUUAUCUAAAUCAUUUUUUUUUUCCUUUCAUUUUUUUUCUUUAAACAACAACAAUUUAACAACUUGUAGAGUUGUAAUUAUGUGUAAUUCUCAUGACUGUGAGACAGAAAAAAUGCAACACAAUGGUAUUCUAACAGGACUCCUUUUGCUGACUGUUGCAUAAAUAAACUGGUUCAUGUUCUGA
Molecule: long non-coding RNA, 3976 nt
Organism: Silurus meridionalis
Lineage: Eukaryota; Metazoa; Chordata; Actinopteri; Siluriformes; Siluridae
Exons: 6
Source: RefSeq, a predicted model, not a curated record